AACGAACGCUGGCGGCAUGCCUAACACAUGCAAGUCGAACGAGACCUUCGGGUCUAGUGGCGCACGGGUGCGUAACGCGUGGGAAUCUGCCCUUAGGUACGGAAUAACUCAGAGAAAUUUGAGCUAAUACCGGAUGAUGUCGCAAGACCAAAGAUUUAUCGCCCAAGGAUGAGCCCGCGUAGGAUUAGCUUGUUGGUGAGGUAAAAGCUCACCAAGGCGACGAUCCUUAGCUGGUCUGAGAGGAUGAUCAGCCACACUGGGACUGAGACACGGCCCAGACUCCUACGGGAGGCAGCAGUGGGGAAUAUUGGACAAUGGGCGAAAGCCUGAUCCAGCAAUGCCGCGUGAGUGAUGAAGGCCUUAGGGUUGUAAAGCUCUUUUACCCGGGAUGAUAAUGACAGUACCGGGAGAAUAAGCCCCGGCUAACUCCGUGCCAGCAGCCGCGGUAAU
RNAcentral lists this ribosomal RNA (450 nucleotides) under uncultured bacterium. RNAcentral describes it as "bacterial SSU rRNA". It matches the Rfam family "Bacterial small subunit ribosomal RNA", at positions 29 to 524 of the family's 1533-position model. The record is from RNAcentral.